UAGGAAGUAGCAUAAUUUAGUGUUUUUUGCUUACAACAAAGCGGCGGUAGAGUAUACCUUUCCUUA
This 66-nucleotide transfer RNA is filed under the name Xyloredo nooi. RNAcentral's name for it is "tRNA-Val". Lineage: Eukaryota; Metazoa; Mollusca; Bivalvia; Myida; Pholadidae. The record is from RNAcentral.